RNAcentral lists this ribosomal RNA (404 nucleotides) under Actinomycetes bacterium. RNAcentral's name for it is "Actinobacteria bacterium partial 16S ribosomal RNA". It matches the Rfam family "Bacterial small subunit ribosomal RNA", at positions 355 to 776 of the family's 1533-position model. The record is from RNAcentral. Lineage: Bacteria; Bacillati; Actinomycetota; Actinomycetes.
UGGGGAAUAUUGGACAAUGGGCGCAAGCCUGAUCCAGCCAUGCCGCGUGAGUGAUGAAGGCCCUAGGGUUGUAAAGCUCUUUCACCGGUGAAGAUAAUGACGGUAACCGGAGAAGAAGCCCCGGCUAACUUCGCGCCAGCAGCCGCGGUAAUACGAAGGGGGCUAGCGUUGUUCGGAUUUACUGGGCGUAAAGCGCACGUAGGCGGACUAUUAAGUCAGGGGUGAAAUCCCGGGGCUCAACCCCGGAACUGCCUUUGAUACUGGUAGUCUUGAGUUCGAGAGAGGUGAGUGGAAUUCCGAGUGUAGAGGUGAAAUUCGUAGAUAUUCGGAGGAACGCCAGUGGCGAAGGCGGCUCACUGGCUCGAUACUGACGCUGAGGUGCGAAAGCGUGGGGAGCAAACAGG